UACGAAGGGUGCAAGCGUUAAUCGGAAUUACUGGGCGUAAAGCGUGCGCAGGCGGUUUUGUAAGUCUGUUGUGAAAUCCCCGGGCUUAACCUGGGAAUUGCAAUGGAGACUGCAAGGCUGGAGUCUGGCAGAGGGGGGUAGAAUUCCACGUGUAGCAGUGAAAUGCGUAGAGAUGUGGAGGAACACCGAUGGCGAAGGCAGCCCCCUGGGUCAAGACUGACGCUCAUGCACGAAAGCGUGGGGAGCAAACAGG
RNAcentral lists this ribosomal RNA (253 nucleotides) under uncultured bacterium. RNAcentral's name for it is "partial 16S ribosomal RNA". It matches the Rfam family "Bacterial small subunit ribosomal RNA", at positions 524 to 776 of the family's 1533-position model. The record is from RNAcentral.